CUUACAGAUAAACAGUCGCCUUGCACUUCCACCCACAAUAACAACUUCAUCCUUAUGAAGUUGAUAUAGUACCCAGAGUGGUCCUUUAAUUAGAUAGAACGAUAUAUAACAGCUGAAAGCAGGAAUGGAAGUAAAUAGAGAAGUGACUUGGCACCACACUACCCUUCUCUGAACAACUGUGUGUAGCAAGUGAAGGAAACCAUGUAAUCACAACUAUUUCCAUGCUAUCAUCAACCUAUAAUACACCAUAAUGACCACCAGCAUCUGUAAUAACACUGUCAGCUACCAAUUUCACUGAGCUGCCAACUAUAGAGUCCUCUACCAUCUGCUAUACCUGUACCGUCU
Pelobates cultripes (western spadefoot toad) is the source of this 345-nucleotide non-coding RNA. The record is from the annotation of a GenBank genome assembly. Lineage: Eukaryota; Metazoa; Chordata; Amphibia; Anura; Pelobatidae.